GACUAGCUGUAGUUCAUUUGGAGCAGCAUUGGACUUGUAAUCCAAGGGUCGCUGGUUCGAUGCCAACGCAGGUCA
Potamilus streckersoni is the source of this 75-nucleotide non-coding RNA. The record is from the annotation of a GenBank genome assembly. Lineage: Eukaryota; Metazoa; Mollusca; Bivalvia; Unionida; Unionidae.